Molecule: long non-coding RNA, 2332 nt
Organism: Gopherus flavomarginatus (Mexican gopher tortoise)
Lineage: Eukaryota; Metazoa; Chordata; Testudines; Testudinidae
Exons: 2
Source: RefSeq, a predicted model, not a curated record
GUUCCGCCGGCUGGUUUACGCACCGUUACGGAGGCCAUCUUGGAUGUGGCGAAACCCUGCUAGGCCUCGCAUUGUAUCCGCCAUGUUGAGUGUGGCAGCCCUUUUCUUUCCCCUCCCCCAUUGCUGCACUGUUAGUCUGUAGGUGAAGGUUCUAGGCAAUGUCCACUGUGGUAGCUAAGCAAGUAAGUCACCAAUGGGCCCCUCUGUGUGGGGGUGGGGGCCCAGUUCAGGCUGUGUGAGCCCAUGUCUGGCACACACUGCCAAGCCCCACCAGCAGGGCACGCAGCCCCUUCACCGCAGCCCCAUCCCAUAGCAUGUUGGGAGGGGUCAGCACAGGGAUGGUUUGUGAUAGGGAUGGGGAGGCAAUUCUAUGGGGGGUUGAGUAGAGGAUUGGCAAAGGGAGGGGCGGGUGGGAUUUGGGGUGGGGAGUUGGCGUAGGGAUGGGCUAGUGGGAUUUGAGCUGCAAGGUUAGAGUAGGGGUGGGUGAGUGAAUGGGAUUUGGGGUGAGGAGUUGGUGUACGAGUAAGUGGAUGAGAUUUGGGAUGGGAGGUUGGCAUAAGGAUGGGUGGAUGGGAUUUGGGGUGAGAGGUUAGCAUAAGGAUGAGUGGAUGGGAUUUGGGGUGGGAGGUUAGCAUAAGGAUGGGUGGAUGGGAUUUGGGGUAGGAGGUUAGCAUAAGGAUGAGUGGAUGGGAUUUGGGGUGGGAGGUUGGCGUAGGGAUCAGCGCCGGCUCCAGGGGUUUUGCCCCCGCAAGCAGCCAAAAAAAGAAAAGCCGCGAUCGCGAUCAGCAGUAAUUCAGCGGGAGGUCCUUUGCUCUGAGCGGGAGUGAGGGACCCUCCGCCGAAUUGCCGCUGAAUACCUGAAAGUGCUGCCCCGCUCGAGAGUUGCCGCCCCAAGCACCUACUUGAUAAGCUGGUGCCUGGAGCCAGCCCUGGUAGGGAUGGAUGGAUGGGAUUUGGGGUGGGAGGUUGGCGUAGAGAUGGGUGGAUGGGAUUUGACAUAGGGGGUUGGCAUAGGGAUGGAUGGUUGGGAUUUGCAGUAGGGGGUUGGUAUAGAGAUGAGUGGAUGAGAUUUGGGGUUGGCAUAGGGAUGGGUCAAAGCUUGUACUCCGCUAUGUCUUCCAGAGACUUUUGCAGCUCCAUCAAAUGCACAAGCAGCCAUCUGUUUCAGGUUCAAUUUACAAGCAUUUAACUCUUCUAAGAUGUGGGUUCUAUAACCUGAACCUGCAGCCAAAGUGUGUUCUAUAACCUUAACAUCUAGAAAUGCAUCUAUUGGCCUACCACUGACAGCAAGAUAACAUACACAGUGACUUAAUAAUUGAUGCCCAUUUGCAUUGGCGCAUUCAUCAACCAUGUAUGCACAUUUUUUUGAAUGUGGUGACAGAGUUCUUCACUUUUUCAACUGCUGAGUCUUUCUCUGUUGCACUUCAUGCUUCUAACCAGUCAGAUGAGUUUCUUGUAGAAAGACAGUGAGCAUUUGCUGGUCUUGUUCAGAACCAGUGCCCAACUUCAAGAUUAACAAGUGACAAUGCAUUUAACAUUGGCCUCCAGUUUGUAGUAUGUGGUUGUAAUGUUGUACUCCAUACGUUUUAUGGAAAUAUGCUUUUGAGUGUAAAUAUAAUAUAACUGGAAUAUUUUUGUGCAAAAGUUUAUAAUCUACUGAGUGUGUUCAUCCUAUUUGUAUGCAUGUAUCAUUCUUGUAUCUAAAACUAGAAAUAUGAAGUAUUGCUCUGAGGUCCUAUUGUAAUUAUGCAAAGUGUGGUCCAUUAAUGGUGGCUUAGGAUCUUGAUGGCUCCCAUUAACUAGAACAAUUGGUUGUAAAUGGCUCUGUUUACUUUUAAGCCUUCAUGUGUUUGUGUGAGUCAGGCCAGAAAGAAUGGAGGCUUGGGGGUCUCACAGGACAUGUAACCAUAUCACCCGGUACUGGAAUCCAUCUUAUACCUUGUGCUUUUCCAUUUAGAAGGAAGAGUCGGAACCCAGUAAGAGACAAAUGAUUUCCACCUUGUGCCAAAGAUAUAAAAGGGGGUGGAACAGAACAAAAGGCUCCUAGUCAUGUGAAAUCCCUGCUUUUCACCUAAGAUGCCUGCUGGAACUAACAAAGUCUGUACCAGGGAAAGGAUUGGGCUCAGACUAGGAAGCAGUCUAGUCUGUGAAAGAAGCUUAUUGGAACAUCUCUGAAAGUGAGAUUUACCUGUAUUCAGUUUCUUAUGUAUUAGGCUUAGACUUGCAUGUUUUGUUUUAUUUUGCUUGGUGACUUACUUUGUUCUGUCUGCUAUUACUUGAAACCACUUAAAUCCUACUUUUUAUACUUAAUAAAAUCACUUUUGUUUAUUAA